This 397-nucleotide ribosomal RNA is filed under the name uncultured Funneliformis. RNAcentral describes it as "partial 28S ribosomal RNA". Lineage: Eukaryota; Fungi; Glomeromycota; Glomeromycetes; Glomerales; Glomeraceae. The record is from RNAcentral.
GUGAAAUUGUUGAAAGGGAAACGAUUGAAGUCAGUCAUACCAACGGGAAAUCAACCUUUUGAGCUUGGUCUCGUGGGUUUUGAAGAGUUUCAAAGCCUUCGGAUUCGCGGGAUUGGGAUCUCUCGGUGUACUUUUUCGUACGGUUAGUCAACAUCGGUUUUGAAUGUCAUAAAAUGACUGGAGGAAUGUAGCUUCGAUCUCGUAUUGAAGUGUUAUAGCCUUUGGUAGAUGUGAUGUUUGAGACCGAGGAUUGCAACGGAUACCCUUCGGGGCUAACCGUCUGAUCUCUGAAAGUUGCUCUGGUGCUGAAAGCUUGCUUAUGGUAUCAAAGUUGACGUUCAAAAGGUUAGAACGGGAUAAAUUCGUUAAGGAUGUUGACGUAAUGGCUUUAAACGAC